Molecule: ribosomal RNA, 253 nt
Filed under: uncultured bacterium
Lineage: Bacteria
Description: partial 16S ribosomal RNA
Rfam family: Bacterial small subunit ribosomal RNA
Source: RNAcentral
UACAGAGGGUGCAAGCGUUGCUCGGAAUUAUUGGGCGUAAAGGGUAGGUAGGUGGUCUCAUUUGUCGGGGGUGAAAGCCUUGGGCUUAACCCAAGAAGUGCCUUCGAAACGGUGAGACUGGAGUCCUGGAGAGGGUCGUGGAAUUCCCGGUGUAGCGGUGAAAUGCGUAGAGAUCGGGAGGAACACCAGCGGCGAAGGCGGCAUCCUGGACCGACACUGACGCUGAGGAGCGAAAGCCAGGGGAGCAAACGGG